This 302-nucleotide ribosomal RNA is filed under the name uncultured bacterium. RNAcentral describes it as "partial 16S ribosomal RNA". It matches the Rfam family "Bacterial small subunit ribosomal RNA", at positions 508 to 807 of the family's 1533-position model. The record is from RNAcentral.
GCAGCCGCCGCGGUAAUACAGAGGGUGCGAGCGUUAAUCGGAUUUACUGGGCGUAAAGCGUGCGUAGGCGGCUUCUUAAGUCGGAUGUGAAAUCCCUGAGCUUAACUUAGGAAUUGCAUUCGAUACUGGGAAGCUAGAGUAUGGGAGAGGAUGGUAGAAUUCCAGGUGUAGCGGUGAAAUGCGUAGAGAUCUGGAGGAAUACCUAUGGCGAAGGCAGCCAUCUGGCCUAAUACUGACGCUGAGGUACGAAAGCAUGGGGAGCAAACAGGAUUAGAUACCCCUGUAGUCCCUGUCUCUUAUAC